GCAGUCUUCUUUCUCAGUAGGUGGUGCAGAUCAAGCCCAUUGAUUUUGGCAGCAAGUAUGAAGUCAUUUUCUGUUAGUCCACCAACUGCAUGAGUCCAUAUCUCAAUUUUUACAUUGUUCCAACCAACAAGAUGAAGAUCUGGAUGAUGACCUUCUGUUUCAGCAACAUUCCCUACUAGCUGAAAUAAAUCCAACCCUUUGGUGAAACUCUUUACUUUCCAUGAUCGAUGCAGCUUCAGUGUACCAUCUUCUUUCACCAAAUUCCACCCGCCAACCUUUGACAUCAUUUCAGUUGCGCUUUCUUCUUUCAUAGGCCGCAAAUCCUUUGAGUUGCAUGGUACACACUUCUUAGCAGCCAAAUCUCUGCCAGUGCAAAAAGUUCUACAUGAGUUCCUAUUUGAUGACACUCCCACACGAUCCCAAAGUAUCUCUUUCACACGAUUACCGGAGCAUCCAUGUCCUCUUUGGCUUUUGAAUAGAGAUGCUGGUGGCACCUGAGGUCUGGACAGAAAGAGCAGAGGUGGCAGUAACAA
Molecule: unclassified non-coding RNA, 533 nt
Filed under: Hevea brasiliensis (rubber tree)
Lineage: Eukaryota; Viridiplantae; Streptophyta; Magnoliopsida; Malpighiales; Euphorbiaceae
Source: RNAcentral